UGGGGAAUAUUGGGCAAUGGGGGAAACCCUGACCCAGCAACGCCGCGUGAGGGAAGAAGGUCUUCGGAUUGUAAACCUCUGUUCUUGGUGAAGAGUAAAAGACGGUAACCAAGGAGGAAGCCCCGGCUAACUACGUGCCAGCAGCCGCGGUAAUACGUAGGGGGCGAGCGUUGUCCGGAAUGAUUGGGCGUAAAGGGCGCGUAGGCGGCUUAGCAAGUCUGGAGUGGAAGUCCUCUUUUCAAGGGAGGAAUUGCUUUGGAAACUGCUGAGCUUGAGUGCAGGAGAGGUUAUCGGAAUUCCCGGUGUAGCGGUGAAAUGCGUAGAGAUCGGGAGGAACACCAGUGGCGAAGGCGGGUAACUGGACUGCAACUGACGCUGAGGCGCGAAAGUGUGGGGAGCAAACAGG
Molecule: ribosomal RNA, 406 nt
Filed under: uncultured bacterium
Lineage: Bacteria
Description: bacterial SSU rRNA
Rfam family: Bacterial small subunit ribosomal RNA
Source: RNAcentral